RNAcentral lists this long non-coding RNA (1786 nucleotides) under Homo sapiens (human). RNAcentral's name for it is "HSALNT0382537". Lineage: Eukaryota; Metazoa; Chordata; Mammalia; Primates; Hominidae. The record is from RNAcentral.
GGCAGACCUGGUCUCUGCCCCAAAGUUCAUUCCAGUCAUUUAAGAGGAAGGAACAGGUUUGUAAAGGAGCCUCCCCUGUGGUCCUUGAGUGACAUGAUGAGGGCUUAUCAGGCUCUGAAUCCAUAGGGCAGGGACAUCACCACAUCUGGGCACCCUCAGCAAGCUGUGACCUGCAGAGUUAACAACAGGCUCUGGAAGCUUGGCGCUCACUCAGCUCCCAGAAGUUCUCAGAGGGUGAGGGUCCCACAUCUCCUGCAGGACAGGCCCUAGCUACUGAGUCACAGAAACCCAGGGCCGAAGCAAAGUCCCAAUCCCAGAGAGGCUGGGGCACACCUACAACUGAAAGGAGGCUUAGAAAUCCUUCAGAGACCACCCUAUCGGUUCUCCUCCACCUGGACAGGAUGAGCCAGCAACACAGAAGGAAGAGGCCUUCCUCCGAAAGACAGGUUUCUAAGACAGCCACCGAUGGGUCCUACCUCCUCGUAUUCACAUCCUAUGUAAUCUCCUCCCCAGUGUGGGCUGGACCUGGUGACUUGCUUCCAGUGAAUAGAAUAUAGCAAAAGUGAUUGAUGUCACCUCCAAGAUUCAGCUAUAGAAGACUAUGACUAUGACUUUCCUCUUGGCUAGCAUUCUCGCUAACCCUUCCUGCUUGCUUGUACUGAGCUGCCCUAUGAAGAGGCCCAUGUAGGGUGGCCUGGGUGGGGGUGAUCUGUGGCCAACAGCCAGCAAGGAACUAAAUCCUGUUUACAACCACAUGAGCUUGGAAGGAGAUCCUUCCCCAGUAAAGCCAGGAGAUGAAUACAGCCCCAGCCUCCAGCUUCAUUGCAGCAUCGUGAGACACCCACAAGCAGGACUCAGCUAAGCCACAGCCAGAAUUCUGUCCCACAGAACUUCAAGACAACUAGUGCUGUUGCUUUUCAGCUGCAGAGUUUUGACAUAAUUUGUUGUAUAGCAAUAGCCAGCUAGUUAUCAAUAACCACUAUUGCUCCUAUUGUUUCUCACCACAUAUCCAUAUAGUCAUGAGGAAACCUCUUUAAAUGAGACAAAGAAUCAGAACUAAUAAAAGAUAAGCAAAUUCCUUUAAAUAUACAUUUUAAUUUUACAUGGUAAAAUAUUUCAAACUGAAAGCAACUGAUUUCUAUUUGCAAUUUCACAGAGAAGCUGGAUAUCAUAAAUUCAGCAGAUGAAUGGUAGACUAGAGAAAAUUCAAUGCAUAUGGUAGAUAGUAAAUUAAUAUCUAUAAUGUACAAAUUAAUUUUUAAAAGGCUAAGAAUACCCAUUACAGAAAAGCAUAGCCAAAUGGCUAAUCAGCCUACGAAGAGAUAUUCAAAACCCUUUGAAGUCAGAGAAUUGCAAGACAAAUAGUGUAUUAUCAUUUUCAGCCCACCAGACUGAGAAAAUUAAAAUGAAUUGUAAACCAUCUUUCUGUCCUCAAGGCAAUGGCAUUUAAAGGAGGGGACAUUGGAAGGCAGAGCUCUCAUGAAUGGGAUUCAUGCCCUUAUUAAAGAAGCCUCAGAAAACUGCCAUGCCCCUUCUACCACCUGAGGGCACAGCGAGAAGACAGCCAAACCUGGGAGGGGGCCCUCACCAGGCGUAGAAUCUGCUGGUACUUUGAUCUAGGACUUCCCAGCCUAGAGAACUGUGAAAAAUAAAUUUCUAUUGUUUAUAAGCCACCCAGUCUAUGGUAUUUUGUUGCAGCAGCCCAAAUGAACUGAAACAACUCCUCUGACAGCUACACCCAAUCCACAGUGCUGGUCAAAGCAGUGUGUGAGUCCUUUGCUCCAAG